CGGACGUGGGGCUCCGGGUGCCGCGGAGCAGCUGCCGGCGAGAGAGCAAGCGGAGCCCGGCCCGAAGAAAGAUUUGCAGCUGCGAUGCUGAGUAUCGCUGCCUGUGUGGAAGGGGGUGAAGAGGAGCAGCCGUGUUGUGUCUGAGCAGCUCUGCCUCUCCAGGCGCUGACUUCUACGGCCUUUUCCUCAGGGUUGUGUCUGGCUGCCUCUCACAGCCCAGGCAAGGAGAUUUUCCUCCUAGUGCCUCCAAGAGAAGCCAUAUGAUAUUUAAUCUUGUGUGUCUGAUUUAUUUCACUCAACAUUAUGGUCUCGAGGUG
Molecule: long non-coding RNA, 317 nt
Organism: Heterocephalus glaber (naked mole-rat)
Lineage: Eukaryota; Metazoa; Chordata; Mammalia; Rodentia; Bathyergidae
Source: Ensembl